This 454-nucleotide ribosomal RNA is filed under the name uncultured bacterium. RNAcentral describes it as "partial 16S ribosomal RNA". It matches the Rfam family "Bacterial small subunit ribosomal RNA", at positions 28 to 507 of the family's 1533-position model. The record is from RNAcentral.
GAUGAACGCUGACAGCAUGCUUAACACAUGCAAGUCUACUUGAACUUCGGUUUGGGUGGCGGACGGGUGAGUAACGCGUAAAGAACUUGCCUCACAGAUAGGGACAACAUUUGGAAACGAAUGCUAAUACCUGAUAUUAUGAUUUUAGGGCAUCCUAGAAUUAUGAAAGCUAUAUGCACUGUGAGAGAGCUUUGCGUCCCAUUAGCUAGUUGGAGAGGUAACGGCUCACCAAGGCGAUGAUGGGUAGCCGGCCUGAGAGGGUGAUCGGCCACAAGGGGACUGAGACACGGCCCUUACUCCUACGGGAGGCAGCAGUGGGGAAUAUGGGACAAUGGACCAAGAGUCUGAUCCAGCAAUUCUGUGUGCACGAUGAAGUUUUUCGGAAUGUAAAGUGCUUUCAGUUGGGAAGAAAAAAAUGACGGUACCAACAGAAGAAGUGACGGCUAAAUACGUG